RNAcentral lists this unclassified non-coding RNA (433 nucleotides) under soil metagenome. RNAcentral describes it as "partial contains 5.8S ribosomal RNA, internal transcribed spacer 2, and large subunit ribosomal RNA". The stretch from base 3 to 120 matches the Rfam family "5.8S ribosomal RNA", at positions 37 to 154 of the family's 154-position model. The record is from RNAcentral.
GGUGAAGAACGCAGCGAAAUGCGAUACGUAAUGUGAAUUGCAGAAUUCAGUGAAUCAUCGAAUCUUUGAACGCAUAUUGCGCUCUCUGGUAUUCCGGAGAGCAUGCUUGUUUGAGUAUCAGUAAACACCUCAACUCCCUUUUCUUUUUUGAAAUGGGAGCUGGACUUGAGUGAUCCCAACACUUUUCUCACUGGAAAGUGGCGGGUCACUUGAAAUGCAGGUGCAGCUGGACUUUUCUCUGAGCUAUAAGCAUAUCUAUUUAGUCUGCCUAAAAAACAGAUUAUUACCUUUGCUGCAGCUAACAUAAAGGAGAUGAGUUCUUGUGCUGACUGAUGCAGGAUUCACAGAGACAGCUUUGCGGCUGACUUUGUAAACUCGAUCUCAAAUCAAGUAAGACUACCCGCUGAACUUAAGCAUAUCAAUAAGCGGAGGA